AUUGAACGCUGGCGGCAUGCCUUACACAUGCAAGUCGAACGGCAGCACGGGAGCAAUCCUGGUGGCGAGUGGCGAACGGGUGAGUAAAGUAUCGGAACGUGCCCAGUCGUGGGGGAUAACGUAGCGAAAGUUACGCUAAUACCGCAUACGAUCUAUGGCUGAAAGCGGGGGAUCGCAAGACCUCGCGCGAUUGGAGCGGCCUAUAUCGGAUUAGGGAGUUGGUGGGGUAAAGGCUCACCAAGCCGACGAUCUGUAGCUGGACUGAGAGGACGACCAGCCACACGGGGACUGAGACACGGCCCAGACUCCUACGGGAGGCAGCAGUGGGGAAUUUUGGACAAUGGGCGCAAGCCUGAUCCAGCCAUGCCGCGUGCAGGAUGAAGGCCUUCGGGUUGUAAACUGCUUUUGUACGGAACGAAAAGGUUUGACUUAAUACGUUGGACUCAUGACGGUACCGUAAGAAUAAGCACCGGCUAACUACGUGCCAGCCGCCGCGGUAA
RNAcentral lists this ribosomal RNA (500 nucleotides) under uncultured bacterium. RNAcentral's name for it is "partial 16S ribosomal RNA". It matches the Rfam family "Bacterial small subunit ribosomal RNA", at positions 30 to 523 of the family's 1533-position model. The record is from RNAcentral.